UAGAAUCAGACAAUGGACCUACUUUCAUGUCAGCAGUAACACAGGCAGUAGGUAGAACCUUAGGGACAGAAUGGAAGCUCCAUUGUGCAUAUAGACCUUGGAGAUCAAGACAGGUGCUUCAAUAGGUCCAGAAAAAGGUCCACUGCACCCUGUGGAAGGUCUUACCACUCCCCAGCUGGAAGCCAGCCCACUCAUUCCAGCCUGGAGAUUUGGUGUUGGCAAAGAGCUUUACCAAUGAAGGACUAAAGCCACAUUGGAAGGGGUUGCAUCUCAUUGUCCUUACAAUACCCUCUGCUGGGAUCCCCACCUGGAUUCAUCACACCCGAGUGAAGGCCUCUCCAGAAUGGUGGACUCUGGAGCCAGGACCUGAGCAACUUAAGAUUACUGAAGAUGGUAAAACAACAAGUUCUUCCUCUCUUCAUCCUAAUAUUAUAAUAUUCUAGUGGAAUGACUUACUAAUUUUGAAUAGUUUAAUGAACUAUUUUCCUUUUAAAACUACAGCAGAAAUGACAUCACUUGUAGUGAGCCUGUGAGUAUAUUUGUAUUUAUUAAUCAAGGAAGAAUACAUUUGUUCAGUUGUAAAUAACAAGCUCUUAGUCAAAUGAUUAUCUGUAUAAAUUUCCCUACUCAGACACAACAAAUAGAUA
This is a long non-coding RNA of Heterocephalus glaber (naked mole-rat), 647 nucleotides long. RefSeq lists it as uncharacterized. The record is from RefSeq and is a predicted model, not a curated record. Lineage: Eukaryota; Metazoa; Chordata; Mammalia; Rodentia; Bathyergidae.